This is a long non-coding RNA of Siniperca chuatsi (mandarin fish), 335 nucleotides long. RefSeq lists it as uncharacterized. The transcript is spliced from 2 exons. NCBI's taxonomy places the organism in Eukaryota, Metazoa, Chordata, Actinopteri, Centrarchiformes, Sinipercidae. The record is from RefSeq and is a predicted model, not a curated record.
UCUAUUGGCUCCAGUUAGACUAACAUUGAUGCUUCAUGUGUUUGAUUCUAUGCAAACUCAGUGACCUUCCUUGUUACUCAGCUAUAAAAACUUCCCAUCAGGCUGUCAGUGGAGUUCACAGCACGUCAGUUUCAACAUCAACCAUGUUUUCUGUAGCUCUGCUGCUGCUGUUGGCAGCUGGAUGUGUGAAGUGUGAACAGCUGACACAGCCAGCCUCUGUGACUGUGCAGCCAGGUCAACGUCUGACCAUCACCUGUCAGGUCUCUUAUUCUGUUAGCAGCUACUGGACAGCUUGGAUCAGACAGCCUGCAGGGAAAGGACUGGAGUGGAUUGGA